This 303-nucleotide ribosomal RNA is filed under the name uncultured Rozellomycota. RNAcentral describes it as "uncultured Cryptomycota partial large subunit ribosomal RNA". It matches the Rfam family "Eukaryotic large subunit ribosomal RNA", at positions 40 to 350 of the family's 3401-position model. The record is from RNAcentral. Lineage: Eukaryota; Fungi; Rozellomycota.
AUAUUAAUAAGCGGAGGAAAAGAAACUAACAAGGAUUCCCCUAGUAACGGCGAGUGAAGCGGGAACAGCUCAAAUUUGUAAUCUCUUCGGAGAAUUGUAGUUUGUAGAAGCGUUAUCGACGGCUAGCUGGGUAUAAGUCCCUUGGGAUAGGGCGUCAUAGAGGGUGAGAAUCCCGUAUAUGAUCCAGUGAUGUCGCGUAUGAUACGUUUUCAAAGAGUCGGGUUGUUUGGGAUUGCAGCCCUAAAUGGGUGGUAUAUUCCAUCUAAAGCUAAAUAUUGGCGAGAGACCGAUAGCGCACAAGUA